Molecule: ribosomal RNA, 884 nt
Filed under: Coolia malayensis
Lineage: Eukaryota; Dinophyceae; Peridiniales; Ostreopsidaceae
Description: partial large subunit ribosomal RNA
Rfam family: Eukaryotic large subunit ribosomal RNA
Source: RNAcentral
AUAUAAGUAAGUGGUGGAAGAAAAAAUAAACAUGAUUCUUUUAGUAAUGGCGAAUGAACAAAGACAUGGUCAUUUUGAAAAUUGUGGUCUUAGAUCAUGAAUUGUAUUUUCAAAAUGCAUUGCUAACACAACUGCACAUGUUUGUUUAUUGGAAAGAACAUCACAAAGGGUGACAAUCCCAUGUGUCAUGUGUAUGUUUUGUGUACAGCGUGCAUUAUAUGAAUCACAUUCAUUGACAAUUGAAUGCAAAUAGAAUGGUAAAUUUCAUUUAAUCAUAAAUAUGUUGUUGACAACUUAUAGCAAACAAAUACCAUGAGGGAAAUGUGAAAAGGAUUUUGAAAAGAAAAUUAAAAGAGCUUGCAAUUGCUGAACUGAUAAGCAAACAAAACAUACGUGUGUAUGCAAGAUUGUUGUAAUGCUUAGCAUCCUAUGCAAGGCUAUUGCAAUGAUUUUUUGUAUAGUGAUGCUACCUUUUUUUAGAAUUUGGAAUGUCUUUUUUUGAGUGUGAAUGGAAUUUUGUUUGUUAGCAAAGGAAUGCACUUUUAGAUUCAUUGUUUGAUUUGAUUUAAAAAUGUUUGUGACACAUGUCUUUGUUUUAGUUUCAUGCUUCAACCAAGGACAUUGUGUUUGAUCCAUAUCAGCAAUACAUGUUUUGUUUGACCCGUCUUGAAACACGGACCAAGGAGUUUAAUUUAUGUGCAAGAUCAUGAAACUGACAUUUGUAUAUCAAUGAAAAUAUUUUGUUGGGAUUUGUGCACCAACAACUGAUAAGUUGUGUGACGCGACGUUGAGUUUGAGCAUGUUGAUUAAAACCCGAAAGAUGGUGAACUAUGCCUGAACAGAAUGAAGUCAGAGGAAACUCUGAUGGAAGUUCGUAUCGAUCU